AACGAACGCUGGCGGCAUGCCUAACACAUGCAAGUCGAACGAGACCUUCGGGUCUAGUGGCGCACGGGUGCGUAACGCGUGGGAACCUGCCCUUAGGUUCGGAAUCACUCCCCGAAAGGGGUGCUAAUACCGGAUAAUGUCUUCGGACCAAAGAUUUAUCGCCUUUGGAUGGGCCCGCGUUGGAUUCGCUAGUUGGUAGGGUACAAGCCUACCAAGGCGACGAUCCAGAGCUGGUCGGAGAGGAUGAUCCGCCACACUGGGACUGAGACACGGCCCAGACUCCUACGGGAGGCAGCAGUGGGGAAUAGUGGACGAGGGGCGAAAGCCUGAUCCAGCAAUGCCGCGUGAGUGAUGAAGGCCUUAGGGUUGUAAAGCUCUUUUACCCGGGAUGAUAAUGACAGUACCGGGAGAAUAAGCUCCGGCUAACUCCGUG
RNAcentral lists this ribosomal RNA (433 nucleotides) under uncultured bacterium. Its description in RNAcentral is "partial 16S ribosomal RNA". It matches the Rfam family "Bacterial small subunit ribosomal RNA", at positions 29 to 507 of the family's 1533-position model. The record is from RNAcentral.